This 337-nucleotide unclassified non-coding RNA is filed under the name soil metagenome. Its description in RNAcentral is "partial contains 5.8S ribosomal RNA, internal transcribed spacer 2, and large subunit ribosomal RNA". The stretch from base 1 to 120 matches the Rfam family "5.8S ribosomal RNA", at positions 35 to 154 of the family's 154-position model. The record is from RNAcentral.
GAUGAAGAACGUAGCGAAAUGCGAUAAGUAGUGUGAAUUGCAGAAUUCAGUGAAUCAUCGAAUCUUUGAACGCACAUUGCGCCCCUUGGUAUUCCAUGGGGCAUGCCUGUUCGAGCGUCAUUUGUACUCUCAAGCUAAGCUUGGUGUUGGGUGUUUGUCCACUCCCUCGUGUUUGGACUCGCCUUAAAACAAUUGGCAGCCAGUGUUUUGGUAUUGAAGCGCAGCACAAUUUGCGAUUCUAGCUUAGAAUACUAGCAUCCAUCAAGUCAUUUUUAACGCUUGACCUCGGAUCAGGUAGGGAUACCCGCUGAACUUAAGCAUAUCAAUAAGCGGAGGA